This is a non-coding RNA of Macaca mulatta (Rhesus monkey), 1295 nucleotides long. The record is from RefSeq and is a predicted model, not a curated record. NCBI's taxonomy places the organism in Eukaryota, Metazoa, Chordata, Mammalia, Primates, Cercopithecidae.
CCUCGUCCUUCCAAUCGCUCUCGGCCCCGCCUCCCCCGCCCGCCCGCUCUCCGCCCACUUCAGCUGUUGCGGCGGAGUGGCAGUUCUGUGCCGCCUCGCUUUCGUGCUGAGGUCUUCUGCCACUCACUGUCCGACUUUGGGGUUUUCUUGCCUUUUUUCUCUCAGAGUUGAGCCCCUACCCGGGCCCUUUAGUCCCUCGGUCACGAGGAACGGUGGAGUUUAGAACCUGUGAGUACGUUAGAUAGUUCGCAGUCGAGUAAGAACAGAGUUCGGGCAAGGGCGGCUGGUCCGGGACCAAGGGAAAACACGCUGGCAUGGUGAUAAGGCGAUGGAACUUACCAGAGACCAAAUAGCUAGAGAAUGGCUGAACUGGGUUUUGAAUCUAGUAAAUCUUGACCCCAGAGCUCUCCAGCCUAAAGCACCCUUCUAUCAUAGAGGUCAUCAUCCACAUUCCACAGAUGAGAAAAGGAAGUUUGGAGAACGAGGCUCCAGGCUGCACACCUAUUGCUGAGGAGAGCUGAAAUUCCAACCAUGUUUCUCCAGCUCCAGAGUCUGUGCCUCUACCACUUGAUAUAAAAGACCAUGUGAUCACAUCACAAGCUACAAAUAACUCUAACUAAAUAAAAAGCAUGCUGAUCUGAACUCUGGAAGAGAACCUUUGUCAAUCAAUAUCUAGCGUUGUCCCAGGAAGAGAGAUUCAAUGUGUAGCAGACACUGGAAAGCCUACCUUAUAUAAGUGCAAGGGGAUCUGCGCUGACCCUGCCCCAUUUAUUCAAGGUCCUGGUACUUAAGGAAUACCUUUCAGAAGGAUGGAUGAAUAUGAAGAAACUAAGGAGCAAAGGAAUCAAAGAUUUCUUCCAGUCCACUCGGGAAGUUAGCUGCAUAGUUAGAAAUAGAACUCUAAACUCCUGGCCUGUUUUCCAAACCACAGAUAUGCUUGGUUUAUGCAGAAGGGAACCCUGACAUUAAUAAGAUUCUCAAGCGGAUCUGGAGAAGGGCAGAGGGAGAAAGAGGGAACGAGAGAAGGAGAAGAAACAAUCACUGAUCUAGUUUCAUGAACUUCAGUGCAGGUGAGAAGGAGAGGGCAGAGAAUUUGGGAAGGAGUGCAGGAAUCACAAGCCAGCUGCAUUCUUCACAAGAGAGUACGAAGUUGAUGGACUACCUCCAGCUGUGACAAAUGAGUUGUGUUUGUUACUUUGGCUUUCUCUUUGGGGUAUUACAAAUUCAUGAAUUUUUAUUUAAUUAGUGAGUUUCAAUAAAUUGCCAUCAUUAUUCUUUUUGAUGGUGAAAUUGUC